GAUGAACGCUGGCGGCGUGCCUAAUACAUGCAAGUCGAGCGAACAGACGAGGAGCUUGCUCCUCUGACGUUAGCGGCGGACGGGUGAGUAACACGUGGAUAACCUACCUAUAAGACUGGGAUAACUUCGGGAAACCGGAGCUAAUACCGGAUAAUAUAUUGAACCGCAUGGUUCAAUAGUGAAAGACGGUUUUGCUGUCACUUAUAGAUGGAUCCGCGCCGCAUUAGCUAGUUGGUAAGGUAACGGCUUACCAAGGCAACGAUGCGUAGCCGACCUGAGAGGGUGGACGGCCACACUGGAACUGAGACACGGUCCAAACCCCUACGGGAGGCAACAGUAGGGAAUCUUCCGCAAUGGGCGAAAGCCUGACGGAGCAACGCCGCGUGAGGGAUGAAGGUCUUCGGAUCGUAAAACUCUGUUAUUAGGGAAGAACAAAUGUGUAAGUAACUAUGCACGUCUUGACGGUACCUAAUCAGAAAGCCACGGCUAACUACGUG
This 497-nucleotide ribosomal RNA is filed under the name uncultured bacterium. RNAcentral describes it as "partial 16S ribosomal RNA". It matches the Rfam family "Bacterial small subunit ribosomal RNA", at positions 28 to 507 of the family's 1533-position model. The record is from RNAcentral.